RNAcentral lists this transfer RNA (72 nucleotides) under Bos taurus (domestic cattle). It matches the Rfam family "tRNA". From Rfam's summary of the family: Transfer RNA (tRNA) molecules are approximately 80 nucleotides in length. Their secondary structure includes four short double-helical elements and three loops (D, anti-codon, and T loops). Further hydrogen bonds mediate the characteristic L-shaped molecular structure. tRNAs have two regions of fundamental functional importance: the anti-codon, which is responsible for specific mRNA codon recognition, and the 3' end, to which the tRNAs corresponding amino acid is attached (by aminoacyl-tRNA synthetases). tRNAs cope with the degeneracy of the genetic code in two manners: having more than one tRNA (with a specific anti-codon) for a particular amino acid; and 'wobble' base-pairing, i.e. permitting non-standard base-pairing at the 3rd anti-codon position. The record is from Rfam by way of RNAcentral. Lineage: Eukaryota; Metazoa; Chordata; Mammalia; Artiodactyla; Bovidae. RNAcentral also lists the same sequence under 3 other names.
UCCCUGAUAGUCCAGUGGUAAAUAAUCCACAUUCCAAUGUAGGGGACAUGGGUUCAAUUCCUAUUCAGGGAA